UACUUCACUCCUGUUGCCUCUCCCAGUGAGUUUGUGACUUUGUAUGAGAAAGUCAUGGCCUUUCUGAGUGAGGAUAACAGUGAUGUUGUCUUCAUGCUGCUGACAAAGUUCGACCUUACACAGUGGUUAAGCGUAACUAAGCCACCUUUAUCUGAACGUACCAGGCUCCUGGAAUCUAUUCACUUGGCUCUCAGUGCACGUGGCCUUGAACCUGAAGAAGAUAUUUAAAUGCCCUUUAAUAUCUUCUGCAAGCAUUGGACUAACCUUCUCCAGUAUUAGUUCCCUGAUCACUAUAAUGACUUCUUAAGAUUGUUCAUGCAAAGCUCUUCAGAGCAGCUUCUGAGCCCUGACUGCUGGAAGAUAUUGCUGGAAGCUCUGGGCUGUGGCUCCUUGGGGACUGAACAGGGAAGUGUCAAAAGGAGGG
Molecule: long non-coding RNA, 424 nt
Organism: Tinamus guttatus (white-throated tinamou)
Lineage: Eukaryota; Metazoa; Chordata; Aves; Tinamiformes; Tinamidae
Source: RefSeq, a predicted model, not a curated record